This 112-nucleotide small nucleolar RNA is filed under the name Dasypus novemcinctus (nine-banded armadillo). RNAcentral's name for it is "Small nucleolar RNA SNORA61 (ENSDNOG00000029841.1)". Lineage: Eukaryota; Metazoa; Chordata; Mammalia; Cingulata; Dasypodidae. The record is from RNAcentral.
AGCUUCCCUUUUCCCUGGAACCUGUACUGAUCUGGGUGGUCCUAAACGGAGGAACAGUAACAUUGAAGCUGAACUCACAGUGCUUUGUAGCAUGCAUUAGUUUCAAUUUCCU